UGGCGGUCGCCCCCCUUCCCCUCCCCGGGCGCCAUCGCCCCUCACACCGUCGUCGGCGCUCUGGGGGCUGAAGGCGGCACCUCCAGGCUCCUCUACCCCGUCUCCCCCUGCCAUGUAUUUUUUAGUGAACUUGUAAGGACGAGGAGCCUUGAUAAGAAAGGAAAUAAAACCACGAGGAGCAUGGGCUCAUCCCUGCCGCUGGAGCCGGGCCGGGAGAUGGGAAUAUUCAUCAUCGGCCCCAAACCCAUCCAUCUCCCCGCUCUGCCUGCGGCGCCCUGGCUGUGUAUGCUGGUUGCUAACAACAGCCGCCGGCUCCGCUGAAACAGGUCCGUAAUGUGAGAAUGUGCUGAGCCAAGGCCCUCGACUGUUAAAAGAUGGGGCAAAGUCUGAAUAUUAGGAGUAGAAGAAGACAGGAAAGACCCACUAUACGCCUCCUAUGUGGUGCAGAGCAAUGAGGAAUUGCCACCUAAUUCAGAAGAAAAAGGAAUCCAAACACCCCCAAUAUGAACCUCAGGAGAAGUGCUUAUUAAAUUUUACCUUGAUUUAUUUUCA
Long non-coding RNA from Pseudopipra pipra, 552 nucleotides. RefSeq lists it as uncharacterized. The record is from RefSeq and is a predicted model, not a curated record. The transcript has 3 exons. NCBI's taxonomy places the organism in Eukaryota, Metazoa, Chordata, Aves, Passeriformes, Pipridae.